GAUGAGAGACUGAGGAGGGGCAAAGCAGCCAGUUUCAACAUGCUGGAGAACAAUAGGACAGGAAAAAGGUGGAGGGGAAGAGGCACAUUUUCCAAUGAAAUUUAAGAGGCAGAAAAAGUGUCUUAAAAUCCAAUAAUCCCAAAAGGGCUUUUAAAGGGCCGUACAUCCCAGUGGCCAAAAUCACAUGGUAAAAGGCUAUCCAUUAG
Non-coding RNA from Pelobates cultripes (western spadefoot toad), 206 nucleotides. The record is from the annotation of a GenBank genome assembly. Lineage: Eukaryota; Metazoa; Chordata; Amphibia; Anura; Pelobatidae.